Molecule: ribosomal RNA, 253 nt
Filed under: uncultured bacterium
Lineage: Bacteria
Description: partial 16S ribosomal RNA
Rfam family: Bacterial small subunit ribosomal RNA
Source: RNAcentral
UACAGAGGGUGCGAGCGUUAAUCGGAAUUACUGGGCGUAAAGCGCACGUAGGUGGCGACGUAAGUCGGGUGUGAAGGCCCCGGGCUCAACCUGGGAAUUGCAUUCGAGACUGCAUUGCUGGAGUACGGAAGAGGAAGGCGGAAUUCCCGGUGUAGCGGUGAAAUGCGUAGAUAUCGGGAGGAACAUCAGUGGCGAAGGCGGCCUUCUGGUCCAGUACUGACACUCAAGUGCGAAAGCGUGGGGAGCAAACAGG